GAAUUCACAGUGGUUAGCAUAAAAACCUGGCAAAGACCCUUGUGCUGUGACAGAGCUCUGCAUCAUAUAGCACCAGGCACCCUGUUUCCUGGAGAGACCUGAACUCCGCUGUCACAAUGGAGACAACACUUCAGGCUCCAUUCUUGGAGCAGGAGGGCUGCUAGGAUAUAAAUUUUUUCUCUUUGCCUACAAAACAGACAGGAGGAAAUUGGUCUGAUCUAGCAGCAGGAACUGGUACUUCCUCGAGCUGAACAGCUCAGUGUGUGUGGAAGGGGGUCAGACAGACUUGUUUCACUGACUGAUGGACUCCCAGGUUGAAGCUGUGAGAUAAGUGCAUGCUGCUCUUCUCCUGUGAAAUGAGUUGCUGACCUCAAAGUCUGGGAAGACUUCUAACAGCGCAUAGAUCAUCUUGAAGACUGAAAAUUUGAGAAAACUUACCCUCAUGAAAAAAAAAAAAGGUCCAGAUCUUUAGCAGACUUGGAAGAAAGAAGGGUUUGUUCAGAUGUUUGAGCUGUCUGCUGCUGCUGCCUAGUGCUCAGAACAUCACAGUUGAUCCCCUGGCAUCACAAAAGCAUCAACUAGGAGCCCAAUCACCAUAGUUUGCUACUGAGUGCCAGGACACUAUAUUUGCUCUGGUGACUAUUCCUCCCAGUGCAGUUGCGUAUCACUGCUACCCUGUCUGUCCAGGAAGCAGAAAAGUGAAACUCGUGCUUGGCACUUCCAUAGGGAUCUCUGAGUGCUAGGAGACAAAGAUGAAAACCAGCUGAUAGGAUACAGGCAACCAUUACAGAGGAAAUACUGGAUGUCAGAAGAGGGGCAGGAAGCAAUGCCAAGGUCCAGAACACCUUUGGGUGCUGCAACCACCUGAAACCUCCUGAAAUCGCUUACCACCACUCAAACCGCUUUUAAUAAACAGGUAACUAAAAUUCAAGCACUUCCUUUAUAAAGCCUUUUGGUUUCAGGAAAGUGAAUCACUGUCUGACAGUUUGGUGGGAGGUUAUUCAUCCAGGAUUGCUUCACUCCUUCGUGGAGAUGCUUGGUGAGCAGCUCUGCACACUGGCAGGCUGCUUCAGCUGGGCACGUACUCCUACAAGUGCCACCUGCUCUGUUAUAAUCUUUGCCUCGCUGAAGUCGCCAGCAUCUUUCUGCUUGAUCUGCAGGGUAGCUCCCUCACGUUGAACUUGGCUGCUCUUUUAGGAGAGUAACAGUUUGAGGAGCUGUUUGGCUCAGUAGCACUUGGCAACCUCGGGAAGCGAAUGCAUUCAGCUGGGCAGUGGGCACACGUACGUUUGAGGGGGGCUGCUGUGUGCCCCAUCCUGCAGUGUUAGUUCACAGCGUGCCUGUGCCUCGGAGGCACUCACUGUGCAGCUGACACAGCCCUCAGGCAUCAGGCAGCUGGGGAAAUUGCCACAGAAGCUUUAGCAAGAAAGCACAUAAUAGCCAAAGUCGAAGGGUGAAUUGAGAUACAGUGGGGGAGGCAGCUAUUAUGUUCUAGCUCUCUUUAAAAACCAUUCUGAGACGUGUUAGGUAUUGUGUUGUGUUUGUUGCUGGAUUUAAGACUGCUGACUGCCAGGCAGUGAAGGUCACUUUGUGCUUCCUUCUUUAAGGCAAGUUGCUGCUGUUUAUAUUAACAAGGGAGCAGCAGUACUGGCUAACUCCUGGCAUGUUAACCUGCAUCUCUCCCGGGCAGCAGGCCUCUGCUGCGCUCCCUCAGGACCUGUAUAGUUGGAGAGUUGUAUAUCAUGUAGGUGUCAAGCCCAAUUGGAGCUUCCUUGUCAGGAUGUGUUAAGGCAGCUGCCUUGCAAUUUGUGUUACAGUGUGCAUCUCUGCCAAUAAACUACUUUUGCUCUCCCUUGUGCUGCGUCUGCCGUCUGCAGGGCUGCUGGGAGAGCUGCCAGAGAGAGAGAGCAACUGCAGGCAUAAAGGUGGCUGGGUGGCACCUCUUGUAAUCUGUGUUCUGCAUGAUGUAUUGAUUGACUUUGUGGAUGGAUCCCAGGGGUUGAACACAAACAGUAUGUACCAGAGCAUGACAUUUUAAUCAGAGACAGGUUUAACUACUGGGAGCAGCUCGGGUAAUGUCUACUUUAAAAAAAAAAAUUAAAGAAAGAAAAUUGCACCAAAAAAAAAAGGGUGUAUGCUGGUUAUUGCUUAGGAACUCUGUGUAGCUGUGCAGUUAAACAUGAGAUACAAAUGAGUAGGUUGUGACAGGACCAAGAGCACUUUGAAGUAAAGCUGUAGUAAGUGUAAAUUGGGGAUACAAGACACUGAAAUAAGCUUUUUGCAUGUGCAUGCGCAGACACCAGGGCCUAAGCAGUAGAUCCUGGUCAGUGCAGCACCAUUCCUGCCAGCCAGCUGUAAAAUCACUUGGCUCAGGGGAUAGAAAGGUGUUCAUGCUGCAGCAGGUUGGGCUGGCAGGGAACUAGAGACAUUUAAAAGAAGGUGGCUGGAGUUUUCUCUGUCUUUGCAAUGAUAGGGAGUUGUGAGAAAGAUGGAGCUCUUUUGGGGUUGGGUCAGCUCGCCCCAGCAAUAUCUUGAGUAAAGACUGCCUCAGAAACACCAGGGAAUGUUAUCCUCCUUCUUAGCCUGUAACACACUGUGUAGCAGACUUUAACCUUCUAUAGUAAAAUCUCAGGGUCCCUGAAGAGCUCUGUUAACCUUGAAAAUCUGUGUGGUAUGUUGCUUUCUACCUGCAAAGUAGAAAGCACCUCUUAUUCACAGGCAUGAAUGACACUGAGUCUGGUCCAGAGGCAGACUUGAAAGGACAUCCAUCUGCUGUUUGUGGGAAUUUAACUGAGCAGAAACUUCUGAAACACCAAAAACAGAGAGAAUAGCAGAAUUAUUCCCAAAGCGCUGCCUGCCUUCUAAUUGCUGGCCAUCUCCUUUUGUGAAAAGAAGCAAGAGAAAGAGUUCACACAAGCACGAGUGCUUUCAGACUUCUCUUCUGGGGAAAGCAGUUGUCUUUCUUCUCUUGUUUUUGGACGCUUAAAAUGAGGAAAGCAACAUAUCAGACUGGAAAACCAGUCAAUGUUACCUUGGUAUCUGAUGAUCAAAGGUAUGACCCCCCUCUGCUGUGCCCUGAGAACAGCAGUAACUGUUUCCUGAGGGAACAGCACUUAGUUCAAAGCAGGAAGUGUCCCUUCCCUCCCUGUGUGGCCACACAGACCAGGAGCUGCCUGCCUGCCUGCCUUGGGAGAGCAGGGUGUUUAGCUUUUCCCAAUAGAAAAAGGGCAGCUUAACCAGUUCUCCUCUGCCAAUAAAAAGAAGCAGGGAGAUGAGUCUCAGAGAAUGAUUAUUGCCUGGGUAGUGGCAUGGCUGGCACCUAUUUCCUUGUGAAGAACCAGUGGGCUACAGUUAUUAAGUAGUAGGAGUUUUUAAAAUUCAUGGUCAGCUUUACCACUGGGCUUCCUUUCAUCAUUUGAAAAGUCUGUGAUUUUGUUCGGACUACUAUAGUUUAAAUGCAGAAAAUAAUAGAAGCUAAGAGAAAAACUGUUUGUUCUUUGCAUUCAACUACCAUUUUACUGUGUGCAUUUUAAUGCUCAAAAUGUACUGGCUGCUGGCUGGCAUUUCUAUCCUGUUGUAGUGCCUGGAUUCCUCUCGUGUUUCUAAUGAGGCGCAAAGUAUAGAGAACAUAAUUGACAGGAAAAAGCUGCAGUUUUUUUAAUGACCAGAAUCAUAUAUAUUUUAAAGCUCUAUCCUAAGGUUACAGCACAACAAAGCAGGCAAUGUCUCUUUCAUCUGCAGUUUACUUGAAAACUAGGACUGAAUUUCAGUCUCCCCAGGUGACAGAAAGCAGCAGAGAGCCCCCAGUACAAAAGCAAAGACCCAGUCACGCACCAUCCAGCACUGUAGAGUCUAUGUGAGCUGUCUUCCAAGAAUAUGGGGAUACCUUUCUUUAUAGGAGUAAAGCAGAUAAGGGAAGGACUGUUAGAGAGCCAAAUGAGACAAAAGGAAAUGAAGGAACAAUUAAAAUGAGUCAAUACUGUGAAGCUAUUAGGUGAGGGCAUUACAAUAUCUGAUGUGAGAGAUCUUAACUGGGACACAUGUAACAUUUGCCCCCAACUCACCAGGCAAAGGGUUGCACUGACUUUGCUGUUAGAAAUGAUGAACAGCAUUGGCUCAUCUAAGUUCUUAAUAUAGAUCACACCUUUUGUAUGAAUUUUCGCACGGAACUCUGGGGCAACUUUCUGAGAUGAGAAUUAUUUUUUGUCACCUGCAAAUUGCACUUUUGUGAGGAGUUAUACCAAGGAAAAAGUAGGUGAGAUGUUGCUGGGGCAAGCUGGAGCACCAAGGCUGCACAGCUGACAAAUGAGAUUUCUGUCAAGGUGAGGUGUAGAGAAAAAAAAAAAGAGCCAAGUUCAAUUCCUGGUGAUUCUAACAGAUUGGUGAAACUGCAGGCUGUCAUUGGGAAAAUCCUGUUUCUCAGACAAAAAUAGACAGGGCACACUAACAUGAAAAUACCAGUGUGAAUCGGCAUCUGAAUUAUGUUGUUAGGUUUAAGUAGUCUUUACUUGGAUGUCAGCAAAGGGUUAAGACAGUGUUUUUAGCAAGCUCAUGGUUACUGCUUGCAUUACAGUAACAUAACAGGCAUGUUCAGGACCCAUUACACCAACUGCAGUUUGUACAAGCAGCAUACAUUGAAGGUAUUGUGUAAGUAUGCAUAUAUAUUUGGCAAAACCCCCUGAGAACCAUAAAAUCAGUUUGGAGAGAGGAAUGACAAGAAAGGGAAUCAAAAGAACUGGCUCAUAUUCCAUCUGUAGAGUUGCACUUCAGGGGAAAAAAAAUAAUCCAAACCCAAAAAAACCCACUAAAUAAAGCUCUGGGUUUCUCGUCCCAUAACCUUGUGUCCUGCCUAUUUUGUGAGAAAGUACUAUUGGAAAUAUUCAGUGGCAGAGAGUCCAUGCAGUAUCAGGAUUUUUUUUGCUCUUUCUGGUACAUGGCAGAGUUGUUGUGUGAUGAUGGAGCAGAAGCAGCCCAAAGGCGUUUUAUAUUUUCUGCACACAUGGUGUUGGCACAUGAGUUUGUUCCUUGUGCUUGAACUUCCACUAAGUCAAUGCAUGCUGGACUACUAAAAAUGUAACAAAAUUGAAUUUGGGGCAGGCAAAACCGAUAAGAGAUUUGCUGCCACUGGGAGUGUGAAUCAGACCUUUUCUGCAGCAGAGUUGCAAACAUUACCUGAAUGUUGAGUGCACCAAGAGCUGAUCACAGAGACAGCAAACUUCUCUGCUUGGUUGCAGCUCUGAUCUGAUAGUGGGGAGUACCUGUUCGUUUGCGUACUUAAACAAUUGCCUGCAAACUAGCAACAAAAUGAAGUAUCCAUGAUGCUUUUGACAACUUUGAGGUAGGAGAGCACAAUGAGCAUGGCAGCUAUAGAUGUAUGUGCUGAUAUUAAGCAGUGCUUUUUGAGAUAGUGCAGUGGAUUUAGUUCGUAUUUAAGUAAAGCCUUGGACUAUCAUUUCUGAGAUAUUUUCAUGUCUACCUUUGAUCUAAAAUGUGUUAAUCUAAUGAGUGGGUAGAGAAAAUGAGUUACUAUGGGAACGACAUCUUUCUCUAACUUGCUGCCCCAGCUGGCUGCUCUGGCAAUCGAAGCACGCCGCAAAACGGAGCAAGGCCGCCAGAGACAAACGUGCAUUUCAGUCUGAGAGGGAGCUUUGGAGGUUGGGUUUGGGGUACAGAGGAUACCAGCAGACCUCUGGGAGUUGCAUCGUGUGCUUAAAGCAAAAUGAGAGGAAGAGGAGUGAGCUGGCACCUGAUUGUGAAAAGGAAAAAACCCCAAAAAGUGAGUCACCUAGUGGGAAGGAGACAAAGGCUCUGCUGCUGCAUUUCUUGGGGUGUAAGUGAUAAAUGAUUAGGGCCAGCUGUUAAAGCUUGAAGCUUCUCAAUCUGUUCUGGUAGUCAUUAAUACGGUAUUUUAUCAUUAAAUAGCUCCAUGAUCUGCAGUCUCUUCCUGUUUUCUGCUGCAGAGUCACAGAAGAAGCCAUAAAUACGAAAAGCACAGUGCCUGAACAAGGCAAAGGAAAAAAGAGGUGAGCAUCCUGCCUCAGCUCACUGCAGCAUGAGAGCAUUGGGUGGGUGCUCACCCAACUUCAACACUUACAGGUAAGCAGGAAUUAUUUUCUCUGGGCAAUUUGUUUCUUUGAUACCUUCAUUCCUUACUAUCCAAUGUGUGUCAUUUAUUUUGCCUACUUUCUCAGGAAAAGACUUGUACAACUUAUGUGGUUAAAUAGAAUCAUGAUCCAAGUAUUUUGAUUUACUUUUUUUUAAUAAAAAAUAAUUGAAAAACAAUCAGUGAAAUACGUGUUCCGGAUGAAUAUCAACAAUGUAAAUCACAACAGUAGACAUUCAAACAUUAUCAAAGGCCUGCAACUUUUUGAAUUUCCAGUUGGGUUUUGACUACCACUCUUCUAUUUCAAUGUCUGUCUCCAGAGUCACAAAUUUUUGUACCUUUUUAUUUUUUUUCAAGCUGACUCCUGCCCUCAAGGUCUCUUAAUAUUCCCUUUCUUGCUUUCUAAUCUGGCUGAUGGUCAGCCUAAGGAAGCUUCAUCAUUGCUAACUUCCUCCCUGCACUAUGAGCUUUUGGGUGAGGCCUUCUCAGACAGCUGAAGGUCUUACACUGACCCAAGUUAUGUCAAGGUUACUCUCCUGGCUGCUGUCCAGUAGCAUCCCUGUGGGGAUCACCUGCCCUCAGACUGGUACCUGCCCCAUUUUUGUCACUGAGGCUUUGCUGCUCCAUCUGUGGCAGUGGUGCUCAGAUUUAUCUGAUUUGCGUCGCUACAACUAGAACUUUGUCUCUCUGAUGCUGUUUCUGAGGUUUAAUGUUCUGAUUAUUAUAAGACUUGUUUAUUUGCUAAUUUUGUAUGUAUGCAUCCCUACUGGAAACCUCAGGGACUUUUCUAACUUUCAGUUCACCUGCUCAUGAGUGCCUAGCUGGGGUGGCCUGGGCUGCUUUUUCACAUCUCUAUGCAGCAAGGAAAGUCUCUCACUGUCUUCUGUGCCACAGGCACAUCCCAAAGCUCAAUAGGGUCACACUAUGCCUUUGAAGCAAGGAUUUAAAACAACUGAGGCCGCUUUUCUUCCAUUUUGAGCCUCACUGAUGAAAACAAUAGCAAUAACUAAAGUACCCUGAGUUCAGAGUGUUGCAAUACUUGCCCUCCCAGUCUGCACAAGUGCAACUGCAGCAUCUCCCUACCCGCCUUCAUCAACUGUGCCUCUCCACCUCUGGCACGU
Molecule: long non-coding RNA, 7224 nt
Organism: Corapipo altera (White-ruffed manakin)
Lineage: Eukaryota; Metazoa; Chordata; Aves; Passeriformes; Pipridae
Exons: 7
Source: RefSeq, a predicted model, not a curated record